This 707-nucleotide ribosomal RNA is filed under the name uncultured marine bacterium. Its description in RNAcentral is "bacterial SSU rRNA". It matches the Rfam family "Bacterial small subunit ribosomal RNA", at positions 56 to 763 of the family's 1533-position model. The record is from RNAcentral.
UGCAGUCGAGGGGUAACAGGGAGCUUGCUCCGCUGACGACCGGCGCACGGGUGCGUAACGCGUAUAGAAUCUACCUUACACUGAGGGAUAGCCUUUGGGAACGAAGAUUAAUACCUCAUAGUAUCAUUUUUUGGCAUCAUUAAAUGAUUAAAGGUUACGGUGUAAGAUGACUAUGCGUCCUAUUAGCUUGAUGGUAAGGUAACGGCUUACCAUGGCUACGAUAGGUAGGGGCCCUGAGAGGGGGAUCCCCCACACUGGUACUGAGACACGGACCAGACUCCUACGGGAGGCAGCAGUGAGGAAUAUUGGACAAUGGAGGCAACUCUGAUCCAGCCAUGCCGCGUGAAGGAUGACUGCCCUAUGGGUUGUAAACUUCUUUUAUACAGGAAGAAACGGUUUCACGUGUGAGACUUUGACGGUACUGUAUGAAUAAGCACCGGCUAACUCCGUGCCAGCAGCCGCGGUAAUACGGAGGGUGCAAGCGUUAUCCGGAAUCAUUGGGUUUAAAGGGUCCGUAGGCGGACUAAUAAGUCAGAGGUGAAAUCCCGCAGCUCAACUGUGGAACUGCCUUUGAAACUGUUAGUCUUGAGUUAUUGUGAAGUGGUUAGAAUAUGUAGUGUAGCGGUGAAAUGCUUAGAGAUUACAUGGAAUACCGAUUGCGAAGGCAGAUCACUAACAAUAUACUGACGCUGAUGGACGAAAGCGUG